AAUAUUAUGCCUGAAGUUAAGGAGUAAAUUGUAAAUUUAUUAAUGAAAUUAAUUUUUCUAAUAUUA
This 66-nucleotide transfer RNA is filed under the name Lasioglossum lativentre. RNAcentral describes it as "tRNA-Tyr". Lineage: Eukaryota; Metazoa; Arthropoda; Insecta; Hymenoptera; Halictidae. The record is from RNAcentral.